Long non-coding RNA from Juglans regia (Persian walnut), 935 nucleotides. RefSeq lists it as uncharacterized. Lineage: Eukaryota; Viridiplantae; Streptophyta; Magnoliopsida; Fagales; Juglandaceae. The transcript has 5 exons. The record is from RefSeq and is a predicted model, not a curated record.
CAUAUGUUAAUGAUUUGUCAAGAAACUUACUUCUGUGAAUCUCUCCUUGAUAUCCACUCUUCAAUUUCAUGAUGGCCCUUGGAUUUUGAUAAAUAUUGUGUAGUGUAUGUUUAGUAUCUACUGCUUUUAAUUCUCUCAUUAUGUUUCUGAUGGUAUAAGUAAAAAAGUUAUUGUUUGAGCUUGAGGCUAUGACUGUUCUGGAUUACCUCGUAGCCCUUGGGUCAGAGUGCGUCAUAGAUGUGACCAGGGAAUAUGCUUAUCAACUACAAACAUUGGCUGAUUUUCAAUAUAUUGAUUCCAGAGGAAGGGACCAGGGAAGCAAUGUCAGGAAGAAAUCUCAGAGUCUUGUGGUUCUAGUGAACGAUAAAGAAAAAAUAAUUGAAGUUAGACAGAAGGCUGCUUCUAACAGGGACAAGUUCCAUAGCACCUCAUCAACUGGUGGAAUGUAUAGGCCCAGUUCAUAUUCUGGUAUUGGAGGAUAUGGCGACUGAUUUGAUGAUGACCGUUAUGAAGGCCGCUACGGAAGCAGGGAUGAAGACUUUGGGAGAGAGAGAGAAACUGGUUAUAGGGAUGACGGGCCCCAUGGUAGAUACGGGGACUCAUGUAGUCGUGAUGGAGAUCGUUAUGGCAGAGAUUACGAGGAAUGCUAUAGUAGAGAUGGUUAUAGGGAUGAUGAUUAUAGAGGAAGAAGUCAGAGUGUCGAUUACCAGUAUGGCUCAAGAAGUAGGAGCUCCAACAGAGACAGAGACCAUGCUUUUGAUGAUGAUGGUCAAUAUUCAUCUCGAGGCAGUGGUGGCAGAGCUGACGAUCAAUCUCUAGAUGGAAGGCGGCUUGAACGGAAAUUUUCUGAACAGAAUAUUGGUGCUCCUCCAAGUUAUGAAGAAGCUGUAAGUGAGUCCCGAAGCCCUGUUCACAGUCAAAGGUAUAAAUAGUGC